This 429-nucleotide ribosomal RNA is filed under the name Actinomycetes bacterium. RNAcentral's name for it is "Actinobacteria bacterium partial 16S ribosomal RNA". It matches the Rfam family "Bacterial small subunit ribosomal RNA", at positions 355 to 776 of the family's 1533-position model. The record is from RNAcentral. Lineage: Bacteria; Bacillati; Actinomycetota; Actinomycetes.
UAGGGAAUCUUCCGCAAUGGGCGAAAGCCUGACGGAGCAACGCCGCGUGAGUGAUGAAGGUCUUCGGAUCGUAAAACUCUGUUAUUAGGGAAGAACAAAUGUGUAAGUAACUAUGCACGUCUUGACGGUACCUAAUCAGAAAGCCACGGCUAACUACGUGCCAGCAGCCGCGGUAAUACGUAGGUGGCAAGCGUUAUCCGGAAUUAUUGAGCGUAAAGCGCGCGUAGGCGGUUUUUUAAGUCUGAUGUGAAAGCCCACGGCUCAACCGUGGAGGGUCAUUGGAAACUGGAAAACUUGAGUGCAGAAGAGGAAAGUGGAAUUCCAUGUGUAGCGGUGAAAUGCGCAGAGAUAUGGAGGAACACCAGUGGCGAAGGCGACUUUCUGGUCUGUAACUGACGCUGAUGUGCGAAAGCGUGGGGAUCAAACAGG